This is a long non-coding RNA of Mytilus californianus (California mussel), 444 nucleotides long. RefSeq lists it as uncharacterized. The transcript has 3 exons. The record is from RefSeq and is a predicted model, not a curated record. Lineage: Eukaryota; Metazoa; Mollusca; Bivalvia; Mytilida; Mytilidae.
UUAAGAACUCCUUUUUGUCGAGCCUGCGACUUUUGUCGCAGAAAGCUCGACAUAGGGAUAGUGAUCCGGCGGCGGCGUUAGCUAACUUCUUAAAAGCUUUAUAUUUUAGAAGGUGGAAGAGCUGGAUGCUUCAUACUUUGUAUAUGGAUGCCUCAUGUUACGAAGUUUCCGUCAGUCACAUGUCCAAUGUCCUUGACCUCAUUUUCAUGGUUCAGUGACUACUUGAAAAAAAAGUUAAGAUUUUUUGUAAUGUUAAAUUCUCUCUUAUUAUAAGUAAUAGGAUAACUAUAUUUGGUAUGUGCGUACCUUGCAAGGUCCUCAUGCCCGUCAGACAGUUUUCACCUGACCUCGACCUCAUUCCAUGGAUCAGUGAACAAGGUUAAGUUUUGGUGGUCAAGUCCAUAUCUCAGAUACUAUAAGCAAUAGGUCUACUAUAUUUAGUAU